Molecule: ribosomal RNA, 311 nt
Filed under: uncultured bacterium
Lineage: Bacteria
Description: bacterial SSU rRNA
Rfam family: Bacterial small subunit ribosomal RNA
Source: RNAcentral
GAUAAACGCUGGCGGCGUGCCUAAUACAUGCAAGUCGUACGAGCGAAAUCUAGCUUGCUAGAUCUAGCGAGUGGCGAACGGGUGAGUAAUACGUAAGCAACCUACCUACAAGGACUGGGAUAACACUUGGAAACGAGCGCUAAUACCGGAUACGUAAUAAGAGGGCAUCCUCCUAUUAUUAAAGGUUCAAAACACAAGUAGAUGGGCUUACGGUGCAUUAGCCAGUUGGCGGGGUAACGGCCCACCAAAGCGAUGAUGCAUAGCCGGCCUGAGAGGGUGAACGGCCACAUUGGGACUGAGACACGGCCCAG